Molecule: ribosomal RNA, 460 nt
Filed under: uncultured bacterium
Lineage: Bacteria
Description: partial 16S ribosomal RNA
Rfam family: Bacterial small subunit ribosomal RNA
Source: RNAcentral
CCUACGGGUGGCAGCAGUGAGGAAUAUUGGUCAAUGGACGAGAGUCUGAACCAGCCAAGUAGCGUGAAGGAUGACUGCCCUAUGGGUUGUAAACUUCUUUUAUAUGGGAAUAAAAUGUUCCACGUGUGGGAGUUUGUAUGUACCAUAUGAAUAAGGAUCGGCUAACUCCGUGCCAGCAGCCGCGGUAAUACGGAGGAUCCGAGCGUUAUCCGGAUUUAUUGGGUUUAAAGGGUGCGUAGGUGGAUGGUUAAGUCAGUUGUGAAAGGUUGCGGCUCAACCGUAAAAUUGCAGUUGAAACUGGCAGUCUUGAGUACAGGAGAGGUGAGCGGAAUUCGUGGUGUAGCGGUGAAAUGCUUAGAUAUCACGAAGAACUCCGAUUGCGAAGGCAGCUCACUGGACUGCAACUGACACUGAGGCUCGAAAGUGUGGGUAUCAAACAGGAUUAGAUACCCGGGUAGUC